Molecule: ribosomal RNA, 253 nt
Filed under: uncultured bacterium
Lineage: Bacteria
Description: partial 16S ribosomal RNA
Rfam family: Bacterial small subunit ribosomal RNA
Source: RNAcentral
UACGAAAGGUGCAAGCGUUACUCGGAAUCACUGGGCGUAAAGCGCACGUAGGCGGACUUACAGGUCAAUUGUGAAAUACCUGGGCUCAACCCGGGAACUGCAGUUGAAACCGUUUGUCUUGAAUACCUGGGAGGGUGGGGGAAUACCUGGUGGAGAAGUGAAAUUCGUAGAGAUCAGGUGGAACACCGGAGGCGAAGGCGCCUGCCUGGCAGUGUAUUGACGCUGAGGUGCGAAAGUGCGGGGAGCAAACAGG